GUCUCUCAGCUUUCUGGCUGAGGUUAAGUGUAGUAUUUGUUAUUAUCAGUUUGAUAUCUGAUAAGGGGCUCUACUGGACGAACUGGGUAACUUGAUGAUUAACGGAGGUAGUAACUUAAUUUAAGUUAGGAUAGCAAUGCUUAACGGUUUAGUUUUUUUAACUUGAUCCAAUUCAUUUUUUGUUGGGAUAAGUUACCUAAU
Molecule: non-coding RNA, 201 nt
Organism: Phoenix dactylifera (date palm)
Lineage: Eukaryota; Viridiplantae; Streptophyta; Magnoliopsida; Arecales; Arecaceae
Source: RefSeq, a predicted model, not a curated record